Ostrea edulis (European flat oyster) is the source of this 2851-nucleotide RNA transcript. It is a transcript of the gene named N-lysine methyltransferase KMT5A-A-like, with no coding region annotated. The record is from RefSeq and is a predicted model, not a curated record. NCBI's taxonomy places the organism in Eukaryota, Metazoa, Mollusca, Bivalvia, Ostreida, Ostreidae. The transcript is spliced from 8 exons.
UAAAGUAAACCUGCUUUAGGGAGACCAUCAAAAAUCGUUGUGAAAAAUCAAAAAUCGACUAUAUAUUUUAUUUUCGGUUUUUGAACAUUGUUUCUAUGACUAAUAGGCACAUAUCUGGACACUUGCUUUAUUUAAAAUUUUAUUAUUUAAAAACUUUAAAUUUUGUUGUUCGAUGAGAUUUUCAUUUUCACGAUUCCGAAAUUAACGCUCGGGCUCGGAGUUUUGUGUUCCGUAUCCAGUCACAUUGAGCGGAAAAUGGCGAAUUUAUCUUACGGGAAGCGCAUGUUAAAAGCUGGACUUGAAAGUCAAGGCAUUUUGCAAAAGAAAGUAAAACGCCUGAAGCCUGAGGAAGAUGCCAAAUGGUGGUGUCAGGCUGGUCUUGACAAAGAUGGGUUCAAAGUAAAAUAUAUAUCUGACUAUAAAGGAUUUGGUGUAUUUGCCGAAAAAGACUUCAGAGCAGGGGAUUUUCUUCUAGAAUAUGUUGGAGAAAUAAUUACUGAAGAAGAGGCAUUUGAAAGGCAGAGAAAAUGUGAUGAAAAUAAUUUUUUUUUUUACAAGAACAAAGGAAAAAGUAUGUGUAUUGAUACUUCAACUCAAGAUCAUAUAUGCCCGUAUGUCAAUGAUGGGAACAAGAUGGCUAAUGCUGUCAUGAAACUUUUGACUUUUGAGAGCCCUUGUCUAUGCUUGUUUGCUGUCAGAGAUAUUCAAGAGAAAGAAGAAAUACUGUAUAACUAUGGAGAUACUCAGAAUCUCUGGUGGAGAAAUAAGUGGAACAUACAUGUAAUGGAAACACAGAAAAUGAUGAAAAUGGACAGGGUGACUAUGAGGGAAGCAGUAGCUGCAGCAACCAAAGGAACAAGUCAGUAAAGUGGUAAUUGGAGGACGCACAGCUUUUGCAGGAGCAAUUUUAGGAUUUAGCAUAAAUUCAUUCAUGCUUCGCUCAAAUUUUUGCUAGGAAGAAGUUUUGCUUUUGUAGCAUGAUACAAAAAUGAUGAUCAAAUAGAUUUUGAGUGUAUUUUACAACUAAUUUAAUCUCCUUAUGAUGUUGAAUGUUUGGCCGGGUUGCAGAACCUGCAUUCAGCUUUGAAGUAUGGUGAAUGCCAGGUGAUCAACUGGCUGAGCGGACCACUUGUGCAUGCAAUGUACUUUGUGUAAUCAAAUCAUCUCACACCUCUAACUUGACAUCCUUCAAACUUUGUACAAUUGUAUGGAGACAUUAAAGAUGUAUUUUUGACUUUUUGGAAGCGCUCUGACAUUUUUCCAAAAUUUACAUUUAGUUGAACUUUGUCACUUUCACAACUUGUUUUAAAAUAGACAGUACCUACUUUGUAAAAUUGACUCCUCUCAUAGCGUUUACUUUACAUUGUUCAGACCUUGCUUGUACAGUUGUAAUGAACACAUUGAAGAUAUGUAUGUGAUUUUUAGGAAGUGUUCAGACAUUUUUUGGAAAAGUUUACAUGUAGUUGAACUUUGUAUUUUUCUCAGUAUGUUAUUAACUCCUCUCACAGCUUUUAUUUGAUAUUCUUCAGACCAUGUACAGUUGUAACGGACACGAAGAAAAUCUGCAUGUGGCACUUUAGAAGUGUGCUACAUGUUCAUAUCUUUGUAAUUUUCCCAGCAUGAUAUCUACGCAGUUGUGUUAAGUAGGGCCAUAGAAAUAUAUCAGGAAAAAAGCAUUAAUAAACAGAUCAAUUUGUGACAAAUUCUGUAAACACAACCCAUUUAUACAAAAACAAUAUGUAUAUAUCAUUAAGUGCAUAUUGACCUCUUAUACAUUUUUCACCAGACCGACAGUCUCAACAUCAACUCUCUAUCACGUGAUCAAAUAUCAAGAUAAAAACGUAUCGUGUAUGUAUAAAUCGUAAAAUUGGCACGAUAUCCAGAUAUCAAUGCAAGUUGAAGUUAAUAUAACUUCAAAGCAUAUUAAUUUCUUAAUUUGAAAAGUGCUGAGAGCAAGUUUACUGUGACUUGCAACAUGUCUAAUUUUUGCAUUGAAUAUGCAAGAUGUAGCGAUUUUUGCACAUACGAAGUUGAAUCUAGCCUGAAAAACAUAUUUUCUGUUGAAGCCAGAACUUGCUCCCCUAACUUUCCUUUGGCACUGAAGUUCACAUGUCACAUAAAUGAAACAUCUUUCACUUAAAAACCUCGGGGUGUCGUGCCAAUGAUGAAAUUUUUAUGUACGGAAACCCUGUUUAUGCAAAUGAGUCCAUUGUGAAAGUAACUAUACGUGUAGAUUAGGGGCGAUAUCAAUAUCACAAUAUAAUAUGGAUAUUACUUUAGCAUGUAUGCUAUAUAAAGAAGAAAUUGAAACUUUUUCAAUAUCAAAGAGAAUUAAUAUAACCCAUUUGACAGAAACUUUUACGCAAUUGCAGUUUACCGUUUGACAGCGGUGGUAAAUAACGAAACAAUAUUUUGACAUUUCCAACCACAAAUGGACUGUAGAUAUGUACGUCAUGACCUUCGUCAUGACGUAAUUUUCAUUGUGACGUCGUGCAAUGUGCCAGUGCGGUAAAGUAUAUUUAUGUACAGCACCGGUAUUAAAAAUUUUAUGGGGAAAGCCUUAACUCAACCGCGUAAAGGCAUGGCCUAAAAUAUUUCAUUUUAUGUCAGUGAAUAAUGUAUUAAAUCAACCAUGCCAUUUUGGCCAAUUUUAGUAUUUCUUGAAACCAACCCUAACCUUAACGUCUAUACCUGUAGUCUGUAAUGCAUAUUUAAAUAUAUUUCAGGUUCUGUUCAGGAGUCCCUAAAUGGUAUUCAAUGUUCUGCAAUGCUUCCAGAGGAAACUAACAGUGAUGAUGAACAGGUGGAAUCAGUUCAAAAGAAUGUUCCUAGGACAUCUAGAAAAUGCUCA